GCCGGGCGCGGUGGCACACGCCUGUAAUCCCAGCGGUUUGGGAGGCUGAGGUAGGAGGAUCGCGAGUUCAAAGCCAGCCUUAGCAGCUGCGAGGCGCUAAGCAACUCAGUGAGACCCUGUCUCUA
This 125-nucleotide small RNA is filed under the name Marmota monax (woodchuck). Lineage: Eukaryota; Metazoa; Chordata; Mammalia; Rodentia; Sciuridae. The record is from RNAcentral.